RNAcentral lists this transfer RNA (76 nucleotides) under Chloroflexota bacterium. Its description in RNAcentral is "Chloroflexi bacterium (hot springs metagenome) tRNA-Trp". It matches the Rfam family "tRNA". Rfam says of the family: Transfer RNA (tRNA) molecules are approximately 80 nucleotides in length. Their secondary structure includes four short double-helical elements and three loops (D, anti-codon, and T loops). Further hydrogen bonds mediate the characteristic L-shaped molecular structure. tRNAs have two regions of fundamental functional importance: the anti-codon, which is responsible for specific mRNA codon recognition, and the 3' end, to which the tRNAs corresponding amino acid is attached (by aminoacyl-tRNA synthetases). tRNAs cope with the degeneracy of the genetic code in two manners: having more than one tRNA (with a specific anti-codon) for a particular amino acid; and 'wobble' base-pairing, i.e. permitting non-standard base-pairing at the 3rd anti-codon position. The record is from RNAcentral. Lineage: Bacteria; Bacillati; Chloroflexota.
GUAUCCCUGGUGUAACUGGCAACAUGGCGAGCUCCAAACUCGACAGAUCCGGGUUCAAAUCCUGGGGGAUGCGCCA